Molecule: ribosomal RNA, 301 nt
Filed under: uncultured bacterium
Lineage: Bacteria
Description: partial 16S ribosomal RNA
Rfam family: Bacterial small subunit ribosomal RNA
Source: RNAcentral
CAGUAGCCACGGUAAUACAGAGGGUGCGAGCGUUAAUCGGAUUUACUGGGCGUAAAGCGUGCGUAGGCGGCUUCUUAAGUCGGAUGUGAAAUCCCUGAGCUUAACUUAGGAAUUGCAUUCGAUACUGGGAAGCUAGAGUAUGGGAGAGGAUGGUAGAAUUCCAGGUGUAGCGGUGAAAUGCGUAGAGAUCUGGAGGAAUACCGAUGGCGAAGGCAGCCAUCUGGCCUAAUACUGACGCUGAGGUACGAAAGCAUGGGGAGCAAACAGGAUUAGAUACCCGUGUAGUCCCUGUCUCUUAUAA